Molecule: long non-coding RNA, 1062 nt
Filed under: Mustela putorius furo (domestic ferret)
Lineage: Eukaryota; Metazoa; Chordata; Mammalia; Carnivora; Mustelidae
Description: lncRNA (ENSMPUG00000030981.1)
Source: RNAcentral
CGGCUCCCUGCCAAGCAGAGAGCCUGCUUCCCUUCCUCUCCCUCUGCCUAUUUGUGAUCUCUGUUUGUCAAAUGAAUAAAUAAAAUCUAAAAAAAAAAGAAGAAGAAGAAAGAAAGAAAAAGAAAGGCCUCUAUGUGAAGAAUUAGGAAACCCCAGUUGUUUGUUUGUUUGUUUUUAAAGAUUUUAUUUAUUUGACAGAGAUCAAAAGUAGGCAGAGAGGCAGGCAGGGGGACUGGUAGCAGGCUCCCUGCAGAGCAGAGAGUCCAGUGCAGGACUGGAUCCCAGGACCCUGAGAUCAAGGGCCUGAGCUGAAGGCAGAGGCUUAACCCACUGAGCCACCCAGGCGCCCAGGAAACCCCAGUCUUAACCAAAGGUGUAAUGGUGUGACUGAAAAUGAUGCUGCCUGACUAGGCUCACACAGUCCCUCAACAAUUACACAGGGAAUUCAAACUCCUUAAGGCUGGACUUUUGGCCUGCUGAACUGAUUGCUUUCUUUCAUAGUGUUGUGGCCCGGCACAUAGCAGGUAUUCAGGAACUAUUUGUUUUGGAUCCUCUGGGCUAGGCAGGGAGUGUCUGGCCUUAAGAAGCUCAUAAUCCAGUUGUGACAAAACCCAAAAGCCACAGAAGUUAUUGUAAUAGAUGAAAAUAUUUACCAUAAUUAAGACAGAGGAGCAUGGGGCACCUGGGUGGCUCAGUCAAUAAAGCAUCGGACUCUUCAUUCCAGCUCAGGUUAUGAUCUCAGAGUUUUUUCUACGGGUUUCUCAGCUUUAAAGAUCCUGUCUGGUGAUAAGGAUAUCUUUGUACUUCUUAGGACAGGAAGGAUGCCUUUCAUACGAGAAACCGAUUUCUUGCUGGAGGGGUUUGGAGGUGGUUAUAAGUAUACUUACACCAUGAAGCAGACACAAGCAGAAGGACCCAUCAGUCCUGCAGAUUCCACCUUCUAAAGGAAAUUCAAAAGGACUCUCUGGCUUGUGUGGUGUUGCUUAGCAACCCACCCAAACAAACAUGUUUCCCUCUCAUUUUUUUCCCAGUCCUUAUUUAUUCAAGAACAUUGUAAAAUAA